This 20-nucleotide non-coding RNA is filed under the name Arabidopsis thaliana (thale cress). Lineage: Eukaryota; Viridiplantae; Streptophyta; Magnoliopsida; Brassicales; Brassicaceae. The record is from RNAcentral.
CCACUGCCAUAUUUUCUCCC